GGAGAUGAGAAGUGGACUCUGCUCUGUCCUGAAAACCUGGAAUCAUAACAUUUCAUGGCUAGGACUAGAGUGUCCUUGGCGCUGUGUUUCUGGUUGUCAGCGGCAGGCUGCAAUUUUAAUUCUGUAAACCGUGUAUUGCGCGUGUACUUUGGGUGGCCCUGUGCUGCGUCAGCUGGAAGGGAUCCAGAGAAAAAGACAGAGCCCUCUUUGAAGACAUCCAGAGAGAGAUCUAGGAUGUUGGGAAGGAACAAAGAAAUUCAGGCAUCUCUCCUGAGAAGAGAAAGGGAGUAGAAUGCUCCAUCAUGAUGCUAACCACAAGAAUUGACUUGACGGGACAGAAUCAAGGGGAAGAACGUCAGUGAAACUUCUGGUGACAAUCACCCACUUAGCUGGCGUCAAAACAGGCCCUAUUCCUCAGUACCCGGUAUCAAGAGAAGACAACUUUCAGAAGCCCAUUGCCUAGACUUGGAGGAGGCUCUUAAUAUGUUUUUUUUCCACAUUUCAUAAAUUCUUAGGAUUUUUUAAAUUUAAUAUCCUUUAUGAACUAAGGUCAACAAAACUUUAAUCAGUGAAUAUAUUUUUGGUUCUGAGAGUUAGAACACUCCUCCCUUUUAAAACAAAAAAGUUUUUAGAAUUUUGUUGUUAAAUAUAUCUGGACAUAUGAAGAAAACUGAAGUUAUCAGCCUUUUCAAUUGAAUCCUGACACUGAAAUUGUCUUUUGAAACUUACUUUUGUGUAACUAUCCUGGCUCACUGGCACUCUGCUCUGGAAUUAAAUUUCCCUAAUUUCUGUCAACUUUUUGAAUCUGCAACAGUGGGAGCAUAUGAUAUGCUGUAUGAGUAACUGCACAAGUUAUUGUUAGAAAAAUUCCUACUGAUAAGCCCUAUGAGUUUUAUCUGUAACUGUGCAAGUAACCUAAGUAUCUUGUGGAAUUAGAGGCAAUAGUCUGUUUUACAAAGAGUAGGAGAGAGAGAGAAAGAGGUAGAGACAAAGACCAAGACCAGGAGAGGAAGAAGGAGAGAGACAGAAAGGGAGGCAGAGGGAAGAAAGGAAAGAAGAAAGAAAGAAAACAUUAGCAUAAUUUUCCAAGAAUAGGCAUCUCAGUGUCUUGCCUAGAAAUCAAGGUCUUCCUCUGCUCAGAAGCACAGAAACUGUCCAGGAGGGGAAGCUCUAAGUAACGAUAACAAUAGAAACUGAUUGGCUUGACAAUGAGAUAAGACCAGGUAUGUUCCCGGUGACCCACAGUGAAGGAAAAUUCAGUUUUUGCACAGUUUCACUGUGUGGAGAGAAUAUAGCACCAUUACAAAACUUCUUUUAAAGAAAAGACACUUUGGGAAUUGGCCUCAUCUGUUUUUUUGUAGGCAGUUCAGAUAGGAAUAAAGGAAAGAAGAAAACAUCUCCUUCCUUAUUCCCCAUCUGUUUAUCUCACUAUUUCUCAUCCUCCUUACAGACACUCAGCUGGAGGUUCACAGAUCCAGUUUCUUGUAGAUUGCUCCUCAAUGUUGUGGGUAAUUUUAGGCAAAAUAUGCAAAUUUCUUGUUUGGCAUAAGGUUUUUCUUUCUCCUGCUAAAACAAAAAUGUUUCCGCUACAAACCAUUUAAAUACUUCGUAGGGAUUUUGUCAGGAUUAAUGAGGCAACAGACAGUCACAGGUGAUUAUACUUAUUUCAAGAAUGCAUUAUUUUAGUAUGUCUAUUUGGCAUUACAUUGAUUUUUUUUCAGGUCAUUAGCUUAUUAAUUUCUACUAGACAGCAGAGCUGCUGUGUCUUGUUAUUUUUGGAGUUAAAAUGGUGUAAUAUUCUCAGAGAGCUAGACAUCAACUUAGUGAACUGGAACUGGAGAAUAAUUUAUUCUUUGCUACCAUAGAUGUUAAUUAUUUACCACAAGACAGAGCUGGGCAAGAAGAAAUCUCAGAACUUUAGUUUGGAUACAGACUUUGCUUUUUAUGGUCUGUUUCAAUCCCUUUAUUUUACAGAUAAGUAGAUUAAAACAAUUAUGAUUAAGUAUCUUCUCUUAUGUCACACAGUUGUUAUUGAUUGGUUUAUACUUAGGAGCUAGAGCAAGUGUUCCCAGGGAGUACAUUUUGUACUGAAUAUAGCUGUCUUUGUGAAGAGAAAAAUAACAAGAUUUGUAGGUACUGAAAGUUACCCAGAAAUCUCACAUUAGUCUAGGAAGAGGUAUGUAUUAUGAUGCUCAGGGUUACUGUGGCUUGAUAUAAUUAAACAGAUGUAUAUUCGUCUCCUAGAGUCUUCAAAAUAAUGAUAGUGGUGACGAUGACGAUGAUGAUAGUUAGCAGUUUUUAAAGGCUUACUCUGCAACAGGAAUUAUACCUAGAGGUUUAUACACAUUAUCUCAUUUAUUUCCUAAAAUGAUGCCAUGAGGUUGGAUCUAUUAUUUCUUCCAGUCUACAGAAGAAGAACCUGAAGCUUAGAGAUAUUUGGUAAAUUGUUGCAACUUCACUCUGUAAGUAAAUGUCAGAUCUGACCAAUAUGAUGCCACCCUAUGCCUUGUCACAGUAUUAUUCUGCUAUACGUUUGAGAAUCUGCCAAAUUUUCUUAGGCUCAUUAUCCACUACCACCAUAUUCUGACUUGUGGUGGAAUUAAUAAUAUUUCUAGAAGAAAUAUUUGCAAUAUUUAAGCAAAUUUUAGAAUUUUUAUACUAGAAAUAAGAUCUUGGACAUAAUGUAACUGUAUGUCUAGGUGGUGCUAAGUAACGAGACUUUCUGCACUGAGUUUUAGAAUGAAGAAUGGGAAGGAAAGCUCUUCCUAAAUAAAGCAGGAAACAUGGAUACCAGCUUACCAUUUGUAACCAGAGGUGUUUCUUAAUCUUUUUCAGAUCAGUUGUACAAAAGUUAAGACAGCAAUAAUGGUUUUUAUAGAAUGUUCUCAUGACGGUUAAAUAUUAAGAUGUAUGUGAAGUACAUAGCCCAGUACUAGAAAGAUCUGGCGUCUCUUCUGAUUAUUUAUUGCCUGUGCUGUACCAGUUAAUGUUUGGAAUAUCAGUACUGUAUUCAACAGAUAUCUAUUUGAUAUCUAGUAUGUGAUUGGGCCAGUAAUAGGCCCUAAGGGGACAGUACUAUUUUUAUCUUCAUGGUGCUCACUUUCUAGUUGAAGGAGGUAGAAAAAAUAAUUAUUGCGGGUAGUGAUAAGUGAAACAAAAAUAAUAAGACAGGAUUGGGGUAGAGUGACAUGAAUUGGGGAGAAGGAAGGAUUCCAUGAGAUCAGUUGUGAAAGGAGGCUUCUAAGAAAGCAACACUGGAGUUGAGAAGGGAAUAAGAAAGAGCCAACUACCUGGAGAUUGGUAGAAGGAUGAAAAGACAUGCACAAGAUUUGAAGAAGAGUUUAUGAAGAUGAAGGCUUCCAAUGAACUGAGAUUUCUACAUCAUGGGGAGGGUAAUAAAAAUGCUCUUUAAAAUAUGUUAAACAAGGUAUCUGUAUCUAUGUCUGCAUGAAAGUAGAGAGGAGACAGAAUAGCUGAUGCAACAGAUGACAGUGAAUAAUCGAGUAUCUACAGCUUCUACAAUGAUCAUCAACCAGGUUCUUUCUGCCCAACUGCAGCAAGUCAAUCACUGAGAUAAUGGAUUUUGCAAAAGAGAAGACUAUUCAUGAGGCAGCCAGUGAGGAGGUGAAGAACAGGUCUCAACUCCACCUCCCAGAAGAUAAGGCUUAGGGAUAUUUAUAGGUUAUAGAAGUGGGGUCAGCUAAGAUGUGGGAAAAGGUGAUUGUCAGUGGGGGAAAAAUGAAGCAAUCAGUGAUCUAUGCAAACAUAGUUGGGAUAUGUGGCAUUUCAUAGGACACAUUUGCAGAAAAUGAUGGUAUUAUGAUCUGAGGGUGGAAUUUUUGGUCCUCUGAUGUCAAAAUGCUCUCCGGCAUUUACAGAGGCCCAGCUGAAGAGUCAACCAGUUUGAACUGGUCAGGAGCUGUCCCACAUUCCUGAAAAAUAACUGAAGUGACCAUUACCAUGGUGAUUUAUAAAUGUUCAAUUUAUUAUGCCGCUAAUGAAGGUUAAGUUUCAGCGUUCAGUGGUGCAGCCUUCAAUUACUGUGGCUUUCAGCUUCAUGAAAAAAAAAAAAAAAAAAGAAAAGAAAAAGAUAAAAAGCAGGUAACCAAAAGCAAGCAGGGCAUGCUAAAUUUGGCAGACCUAAUCAGAUGAAUCCUCUGUUUCACAGUGCUAUUUUGUUUAUAAUCUUCUUUAUCCAGGAGAACAUUAUUUGAACUAAAAAGAACAAAGCAAGAAUGGUCUGAAAUCACAAGGGGUUCAGAAGAAUGAAACAGAUGAUCUGGAUACUUUUAGAAGGAGUAAUAAUUAUUAAUCCCAACAAAUGACAUUCUUCAGUGUCUAAGCAUUUUCUUUUGUGAUUAAAGAGCUGCCGUGAACAAACCUGGAGGAGAACGUGAUGGGUACCAGAGACCAGAAAUUUACACAUGGCUAUGUUUUCAAAGGACAGGUCAAGAUGUUCCAGCUACUUGGGAAGCUGAGACAGGAUAUCUG
This 4491-nucleotide long non-coding RNA is filed under the name Homo sapiens (human). RNAcentral describes it as "HSALNT0323707". The record is from RNAcentral. Lineage: Eukaryota; Metazoa; Chordata; Mammalia; Primates; Hominidae.